This 429-nucleotide ribosomal RNA is filed under the name uncultured bacterium. RNAcentral describes it as "bacterial SSU rRNA". It matches the Rfam family "Bacterial small subunit ribosomal RNA", at positions 355 to 776 of the family's 1533-position model. The record is from RNAcentral.
UGGGGAAUUUUGGACAAUGGGGGCAACCCUGAUCCAGCAAUGCCGCGUGUGUGAAGAAGGCCUGAGGGUUGUAAAGCACUUUAGGUGGGGAGGAAAGCCAAUGAGCGAAUAAUUCAUUGGGGUGACGUUACCCGCAGAAUAAGCACCGGCUAACUCUGUGCCAGCAGCCGCGGUAAUACAGAGGGUGCAAGCGUUAAUCGGAAUUACUGGGCGUAAAGCGCAUGUAGGUGGUUUGGUAAGUUUGAUGUGAAAGCCCUGGGCUUAACCUGGGAAUGGCGUUGAAAACUGCUGAACUAGAGUGGGAUAGAGGGCAGUAGAAUUUCCGGUGUAGCGGUGAAAUGCGUAGAGAUCGGAAAGAAUACCGGUGGCGAAGGCGGCUGCCUGGGUCCUAACUGACACUGAGGUGCGAAAGCGUGGGGAGCAAACAGG